This is a long non-coding RNA of Anthonomus grandis grandis, 1225 nucleotides long. RefSeq lists it as uncharacterized. NCBI's taxonomy places the organism in Eukaryota, Metazoa, Arthropoda, Insecta, Coleoptera, Curculionidae. The transcript is spliced from 3 exons. The record is from RefSeq and is a predicted model, not a curated record.
CUGGAAGUCAAAUGUCAAAUAUCUGUCAAAAAUUAAUAAUUGCAUCCUAAAUAAAGCCCAAAUACCAAAUUUGAACCCAAUCGGACUCAUAGCAAAAAAGUACCAAUAGUCACGUGACCUGGAAGUCAAAUGUCAAAUAUCUGUGAAAAAUUAAUAAUUGCAUCCUAAAUAAACCCCAAAUACCAAAUUUCAAUCAAAUCGGACAAAUAGGAAGAAAGUUAAGGUAGUCACGUGACCUUAAAACAUAGUCAUGUCAAAUAUCUGUAAAAAUUUAUUAAUCUUAUCCGAAAUAGGUACUAGGUACCAAAUUUCAACCAAAUCGCACCAAUACCAAAAAAGUUAUGAUACUCGACUAACCUUAAAAAUCAAUAAUUUCAAAAAAAUUUUAUUUAUAACCCAAAAGCAAUCUUUAAGAAUUAUUAACAUAUAUUAAUAAUAAACUAAAUAGUAAAAACUCACAAAAUAUCUAAAUUUUUAUUUUAAAUUAAAUAGAUCAUUACGACUGACCCGUGUAUAUAUUCGAAUAAUUUUAAUAAAAUAAUCGGGCAAAUUUCAUUUCGUCUCACCCCGGUAUAAAACCACUGACUUUUCAAAAAAACGGCAUUUUUCGAAGACGUCAAAAUGUUUGCCGAAUUUUCCUGGCCGCAAUACACAAUUUCCCCAAUUGAUAUGCACAGAUUCGGAAAGCCCAUUCAUUUUCUGAUUCGGUGCUUCCUUUCCCUGAUCGUUUCCGGUUCAUUUUCAUUCAUAAUUUUACAAAAAACCCAACCAAGUCCCGGCCACCUGUCACGAGCAAAAAAUUUGUAUCCACCAUGCGUCAAAGUAUUGUUCCCACUAGCCAUUUCAUCAGAGUUUAGGUUGACACCUCCAAUUACCUGCAAAAACGCAAAAAAAUGGACUUUUUUCAUAAAAUCGCAUUUUUCGGGUACUUGUACUAUCGCUGGAACCCUGAAAUUUUAGUAUGUGUUGUAAAACAAAAUUUCGGAUCUUUUAGAUGAUGUCUGAUCUUUUCACCAUGUACAGGGACGUGGCAAAUGAAUUAAACGCGAAAAUUCGAAUUGCUCAGAACCUAUUAAUGUUGGAAGAUUGUAAUUUUACAUAAAUAAUGGGGUUAUUAAAGUAUUUAAUGCCUGAGAAUAUAAAUGGUCCAGGUGCCACUACGAAAAAGUUAUUAAAUAAAAUGUGAUUUUUGAGUCGGACCUUCAUGGGUAAAGUUCAUUAUUGC